This 379-nucleotide ribosomal RNA is filed under the name uncultured eukaryote. RNAcentral's name for it is "partial 18S ribosomal RNA". It matches the Rfam family "Eukaryotic small subunit ribosomal RNA", at positions 592 to 975 of the family's 1831-position model. The record is from RNAcentral.
CAAUAGCGUAUAUUUAAGUUGUUGCAGUUAAAAAGCUCGUAGUUGGAUUUCGGAUGGGACCUGCCGGUCCGUCUUUGAGAUGUGCACUGGCAAGUCCUCUCUUGUUGUCGGGGACUAGCUCCUGGGCCUCACUGCCCCGGGACUAGGAGCCGACGAAGUUACUUUGAGUAAAUUAGAGUGUUCAAAGCAAGCCUACGCUCUGAAUAUAUUAGCAUGGAAUAACACGAUAGGACUCUGGCUUAUCUUGUUGGUCUGUGAGACCAGAGUAAUGAUUAAGAGGGACAGUCGGGGACAUUCGUAUUUCAUUGUCAGAGGUGAAAUUCUUGGAUUUAUGAAAGACGAACUUCUGCGAAAGCGUUUGUCAAGGAUGUUUUCAUUA